RNAcentral lists this ribosomal RNA (38 nucleotides) under Lentinula lateritia. RNAcentral's name for it is "partial 25S rRNA". Lineage: Eukaryota; Fungi; Basidiomycota; Agaricomycetes; Agaricales; Omphalotaceae. The record is from RNAcentral.
GCUUGACCUCAAAUCAGGUAGGAUUANCCCUGAACUAA